Molecule: non-coding RNA, 27 nt
Filed under: Mus musculus (house mouse)
Lineage: Eukaryota; Metazoa; Chordata; Mammalia; Rodentia; Muridae
Source: RNAcentral
UGUCUUUGUACGGCAUCUAACCUUUUC